Molecule: ribosomal RNA, 465 nt
Filed under: Vreelandella stevensii
Lineage: Bacteria; Pseudomonadati; Pseudomonadota; Gammaproteobacteria; Oceanospirillales; Halomonadaceae
Description: partial 16S ribosomal RNA
Rfam family: Bacterial small subunit ribosomal RNA
Source: RNAcentral
CCUACGGGGGGCUGCAGUGGGGAAUAUUGGACAAUGGGGGGAACCCUGAUCCAGCCAUGCCGCGUGUGUGAAGAAGGCCCUCGGGUUGUAAAGCACUUUCAGUGAGGAAGAACGCCUGGUGGUUAAUACCCAUCAGGAAAGACAUCACUCACAGAAGAAGCACCGGCUUACUCCGUGCCAGCAGCCGCGGUAAUACGGAGGGUGCGAGCGUUAAUCGGAAUUACUGGGCGUAAAGCGCGCGUAGGUGGCUUGAUAAGCCGGUUGUGAAAGCCCCGGGCUCAACCUGGGAACGGCAUCCGGAACUGUCAAGCUAGAGUGCAGGAGAGGAAGGUAGAAUUCCCGGUGUAGCGGUGAAAUGCGUAGAGAUCGGGAGGAAUACCAGUGGCGAAGGCGGCCUUCUGGACUGACACUGACACUGAGGUGCGAAAGCGUGGGUAGCAAACAGGAUUAGAUACCCCUGUAGUC